GUCGGGGAAGGAAAGACAUAGAAUUUGGAUUUUUCUUCUUCGUAGAGUUUUGGGGAAGACUGAGGCAAUCGCUGCUGAAGUCAGUGUUGUAAUGGUAAAUCGGGAUUUUUAAAUGAAGUGGAUUUGAAUACUCUUGACUGUUUUGUGAAAUCGAGUUACGUCUGUGAUUGAAGGAUUAAAAGGGUGUCUAUAGGAUUGAGUAUGCGGAGUGAAUGAAAUUUAUUGGGUUAAUCUAACAAGACAGUCAGUGGAUACAAGAUCGUAAGUACAAAGCAGUAUUGAAGGUUAACAGUUUGGGUUGUUCGGGGUUCUCUGUAACGUCUAGAGACCUACCGGCUGGGGCAAAAAGGACUUCGACAAGCAGUCGAAGAGCACCCGUAUAGAUUUACGGUACAUUGUUGCAGUCGUUUAUAUUCCAGCAGUCAAAAACUGAUAGACUGCUUGACUAUCGACGAAUCUCCAUACUACCUUCUACAGCCAGACGCCCGGCGCGUUCUCGAGCACGAAAGCACGUAAUACGACAUAAGUGGUGAACCCGACGUGAAAGCUUGAGGUAGAAGGUAUUGGAUUUUGGUUGAUUUAUCUUUAUUUUUAUGGAAAACGAAAAUAAAAAUUUUGAAGGAUUUUUGGGAGAAGUUUCUGGUGGGGAGUCUUCUAAAGGACAAGGUAUGCACAUGGAUCCGUCUAUUGCUAGUUUGUUUCAAGCCUUCUCAUUGUCAAUGCAGCAACAGCAAAGCAAUGAUCGAAAGGAAGCUUUGGCAACCAAAGCAUUGCAAGCAGUGGUCAAUAAAAUUGAUCAAUUUGAUGGGAGGAAUAUUUCAAGGUAUUUAAGAUGUUAUGUUCGUGAAAUGGAAUUAAAUCGGGUUUCUGAGAAGAAAAUGGUUGCACUAUUUGGACUUGCCACGAUACCGGAGAUAAGGGACCACAUUACAUCGAUUACGGAUCGUUGUGGGAAUUCAUGGGAAGAUUUUUCACAUGCAUUGAAAGACGAAUAUUUCUUGGAAGAUGCUAAUCGCGUUACUAAGAAGCUGUUUCUGGGAUGGAUUGAAUGGCCCAAUAAGAAUUUCCAAGCAACAGAGCUACUAAGGGAAUUUGAGAGGCAGUACUCUCAAUUAUUGAAGGUAGAAAAAUUGACAUUGGAGCCGAACAAAGUUGAUCUAUUUCUUCAAGCUGCUGAUGGAGAAUUGCAAGAGAAAUUAGAACCCCUUCUUGAAGACAAAGAAGAAGAUGAAGGAUUGACAACGAAGAGGAAGAACGUUGAAGAUGCGGUAGGGUUGCUUACAAAAAAAGAAAGGAGAAAGGAUAGGAGUAAUAUUCCGAAACAAGUACAAGCACCCAAAGCUCCAGUACGUACUACACCACCGACAAUGCCUACAGUUCAACCUUCGACAUCCUUGUCAAAGAAAGCAGAUAUGGGUAUGGAAGAAAUUAUACGAGGAAUGCGAGAUCUUCAAAUCAAAUUGGCAAGACUUGAAGAGAAUACUUCUAUAAACAAUUCGAAGAAUGUUUCAAAACAAGGAUAUGUACAAAGAUGCAUUUGGUGUGAUGAUGCUUCAUACACUAGAAAAGAUUGCAAUGAAUUUAAUAAUGUGAUACGGCAGGGAAUUAUUUGCUGGAAAGAUGGGAAGAUAGCAUUGAAAGAUAGGGAGGAUCUUCUUCAAACCAAUUUUGGCAAGGGAGGAAUGAGAGCAUUGGUUCAAGAUUACUUAAAAGGGCAUGAAACAGUAGCACGAGAAAGUGCAAGUUAUGGUGCUAGAGUAGAUGAUGAAAUUGGUGGAAGUACGGAAACUAGUGAGUUUUGGGCUUCUGCCGUUUCUACAAUGCAAGAAGGGAAAUUACCUCGAGAAGCGUUAUUGAGAACUGCAGCUACAAUACGAGGAAGAACAGGUUGGGAAGAUCCCGUUGAGUCUCUUUCAGUUCAUGCAUAUAUUGCUAAGAGCCAACAUGAAGCUUUGAUGGAAGAAAAAAGACGAGGAAAUUUUGAUGAUACUAGAGAAGGAAAUUCUUUUAAGAGGCAAACUUGAGGAGACAAGGCUCGGGAGGCAGCUUCACAAGAAUUGCCUGUAAAGGAUACCUCAAUAUCAUUGGAAGAGAAAACAACGGAGACAAAAGAUAAGGGCAAAUCAAUUGCUUAUAAGCUACUUUCUGACAUUGAAGCGGCAACAAAUUUGAAAGGGGUGUUGGAAGAACGUAUAUUAAACGCUAAGGUGGAAUUCACAUUGAAAGAAUUCUUGGGAAUUGCAAAGAAGGAGUUUCAUGAUGUUAUCAUUGACAGCAUUAAGCGAAAGAAGCAAUUAAUGAGCGAAACUGGAAUGAGUCAUGCUAUUGAUGCAAGAAUAUGUAGAGAUGAAGAAGAGGAUGAUAUUGGUUACAAGCAACCAACAAAUGAAAAGAAUGGGUGUAAUCAGCGAGUACGUUUCGAAGAUUCUAGUGAUAAGGAAAUAGAAACUUUGAGCCAUUAUACUCGAAAGCAUUGGACAAGGGCAACUACUGAGGUAUUGGUGAAGGUAGGAGAUAUAGAGGAACCAAUAGUUGCUUUGGUGGACCAUGGUUCUGAAAUAAAUCUCAUGCAUAAAGAUCUUUAUAAGAAGCAAAAAUGGCCAAUUGAUAUGGAACAUGGAUGGGCAAUACGAGCAGCUAAUAACACACGAGGCGAAUUAUAUGGAGCUUGUCUAGAUGUCAAAAUUCGAAUUGGGGAUGUUGCGACGGAGCAACAUUUCUUCGUUCAAGAUACAACGUCUUAUCCGUUGAUUUUAGGACAACCUUAUAUCAUGGCAACACGGAUGGAAACAAAGGUAGUUGACGAUGGUUCUGCUUAUGCAAGGGUACGGAGCGAAGAUGGGAGGAAAGCUGUACAAUUUCUAACAGUACCUCCUAACCAUGAACGGAAUCGAGAUAGGUUGAGGGAGAUACCAUUACCAAAGAUUGUUGAAGGAUUUAAGGAUUUUGGGGAGGUACCACUGUAAAGCGAGAUUAUGGAGGUACAAAAGAAGAGGUACUCUCGCGAGAUGAAGGUGCCUUUGAUGCGAGUUUUAUUGGUAUAUUGGAGAAUGGAAAUAUUAUGUAUAAGAAAGUUGAUGAUUUUAAAAGAAAAGAAAGAAAAAGAUUAUAUGAUAUUGAAGGACAGUUAUGCAAGAUAGGUACAUUGCAAGAUGAUGAGAGGAUUUUGGGUGUUUAUGAAGAAAAUGGGCUGGAAGAUUCAUUGGAAUUGAUUACAUCUAUUGGGUUAGGGGAUAAUGAUAAGAUUGUUGAGAUUCAUUCGAGAGAGAUUUAUACCAUGCUUGAAUCUUUUCAAGCACCAGAAGUCACAGUAGAGACGAGAUAUAAAACGGCAGAUAAGAAGGUAAAGCCUGUUGCCGGACCAUUACCAGAGGAUUCUAAAGAACAAAUGGGAGAAGCAUCAAAAGAAGCAAGUUUAAGAGAUCCAAUGAGUAUUGGACAUCAGUUUACUGAAGAGACUUUUGAAGAAUUGAAGAUUGGUUCUGAUGGUUCUUUAUUGCCUGAGGAAAUUACUUGCUUCAAAAAAGUGUUGGCUAAACAAGGUAGAUCGUUUGCCUUCGAAUCUCAUGAAAUUAGGUGUGUGGAUCCAAAUAUUAUAACACCUAUGGUUAUCUUCACUGUACCGCAUGUACCUUGGAAUCUAAGACCGAUUCCAGUACCGAGGGCACAUUUACCUAAAUGGGUGGAACUAUUGAAAGAAAAGAUAAAGAUGAAAAUAUUAGAACCUUCAUUUGCGCCGUAUUCUAGUCGAUGGUUUACGGUACCUAAGAAGAAUGGGUCACUGCGGUUUAUUCAAGAUAUGCAGCAGGUGAAUGCUGUAACUGUCAAGAAUGCAGGAAUUGGACCUAUUGUGGAUGAAUUUGCUGAGGCGUUUGCUGGAAGGGCGAUCUAUUCAAUGGGUGAUUUGUAUUCAGGUUAUGAUCAAUUUCAACUUGUCGAAAGAAGUAGAGAUAUGACAACGAUGAGGACACCGCUUGGAUUGGUUAGAAUGUGCACUCUUCCUCAAGGCGCGACCAACUCAGUUGCGCAUAUGAUGAAUGGGAUGAAUAAGGUAUUGAGAGAUUUUAUCCCGAAAAAGACUAUGCCUUUUCUGGAUGAUGUUCCUAUAAAGGGGUGCAGAGAAGGAGACAAGGAUGAAACUUUAGAUACGAGGGGGUGUCGCAGAUAUGUUGUUGAUCAUAUACAAGAUUGUGAAAAGAUUUUAACUCGGCUAGGAGAAGUUCAUCUUACAUUAUCGGGUAUGAAGUCCGUAUUUGGAGUGCGAGAGGUUGUAAUUGUUGGACAUUUAUGCAGAUCUUACAGAAGAAAACCAGAUCCGACUAAAGUUGAUGCAAUUGGAAGGAUGAAAGAGGAUUGUGGUUCUUUAACAGAGGUUCGCAGGUUUUUGGGUGCAUGUGUAUUUUAUCGAAUCUGGAUCCCUCAUUUUGCUCACAUAACGGAUCCAUUAUAUGAACUGUUACGCAAGGGUUACCGAUUUGAAUGGAAAGAAAGGCAUAUUCAGGCAAUGCAAAGAUUGAAGAAAUUAUUGAUGUCACCUCCAAUAUUGAGGAAGGUUGAUUAUAAGUGCAAUAGACCAGUGAUUCUUACUGUAGACGCUAGUCCAAUUGCCGUUGGAUGGGCGGUGGGUCAAGAUGAUACGAAUGAGAGUAGAUUUGCAGUUCGAUUUGGGGCUAAAGUUUUAAGUAUUCGUCAGCGUGCAUAUUCGCAAGUCAAAAGAGAACUUUGGAGAGUCGUUUCGGCUAUGAAAGCUGAAAAGGACUAUUUGAUUGGGGCAGUAGUAGUAAUUGAAACAGAUUGCUUGCCAUUGCUUGGAAUGAUUAUUAACUGUUCAACGCCAGAUAUUGCAAUGUUGAGAUGGAUUGCUUAUAUUGUCACUAAAUCCAGAAUUUAAGCAUAUCACUGGAAAGGACAAUUUAGUAGCAGACAUGCUAUCUCGAGUAAGAUACGAGAGGGAGGACGAAAUGGUUGAAGACAUUGAUGAUGUCGGAUUGAAAUUCUAUUCAAUAUCAAAUCUCAACAGAGAAGACAAGCUAUUUCUUGAAGAAUCUUUUGAAGGAGAAUUAUUGGAUAUUGGUCAUUAUUUGAAUACCUUGUCUAAGCAGGGGAAUUGGUGUACAGAAAAAUUCAAACAAAUAAGAAAAAAAGCAUAUGGAUUUUUACUUCGAGAUGGAUUCUUAUGGAAGAGACCGAAGAAAGGAAUUGGGAUGCCACAAUGAGUGAUAGGCAAAAGGGAAGAAAAACUAAAAUUAUUAAAGGAGUUUCAUGAUAGUUUAUGGGCAGGGCAUAGAGGAAUCUGGGCUACUUUUGCUAAACUCAAGGAACGAUAUUGGUGGAAAAAUAUGUAUCGAGAUGUGCUCUCAUUUGUAGAGUCAUGUGAAAUCUGUCAAUCGUAUUCUAAUAUCCGACAUCGAGAUGGUCUUCAUCCUACGUAUCCUCUCGCUAUUCAUUUUAAAUGGGUUGUUGAUUUGGUUAUUAUGCUGGUUGGGUUAUGGCAGAUGAGAUAUUUGAUUUUAGCUCGUGAUGAUUUAUCAAAUCAAGUAGAAGGAAGAGCAUUGAGGACAAAAUCUACAGAGGGGAUUUGUAGGUUUUUGCUUGAAGAUGUCAUUUGCCGUUACGGGUGCGUAGGAAAAAUCACUGCAGAUCGUGGAGAAUUAAAUGCACAAGAAGCUCGUAAGUUCUUUGAAAGAUGUGGAGUGAGACUAUCACUGACUACUGCUUAUAAUCCGGAAGGGAAUGCAAAAAGUGAAUGUGGUCACCUGCCGAUUGUGAAAGCAUUGGUUAAAGCUUGUAAUGGGAAGGUUAAAGAGUGGCCACAGCUUUUGUCAUUUGCAUUAUGGGCUGAUCGAACAACACAUAGUUCGGUGACAGGAUAUAUGCCAGUAGAACUUAUGACAGGUCAAAAACCAAUUAUGCCGAUUGAAGAAAAGGUACUUACUUGGAGUAUGCUACCAUGGGAAGAUGGAUUGAGAAGAGAAGAACUUCUAGCUAUUAGGAUUCGACAAUUGGAGCAAAGAACGGAAGAUGUCCAGAUAGCAUUGGAAAGGUUAAAAAGAGCAAGGUUACAAAACAAGGCGCGAUUCGAUAAGCAACAUCGAUUGAGACCAAAAGCAAUCGAGGAAGGUGACUGGGUACUUGUUUAUGACAAUAGUCUGGAUAAUCAACAUAGUACUUUGCGAAAAUUUUCAAAACGUUGGUUUGGACCAUAUGUUGUAACAACUGUUCAUGAUAAUGCGACUUACUCAUUACGGGAGUUAGAUGGUACAAAAUUAAAAAUACCAAUUGCAGGGAAGAGAGUAAAAAUAUUUAAACGAAGACACGCACAGAUGAAUAUGGAAGACCUUAAUGAAGGUACAGAGAUUCCGCAGCAAGAAGAUGAAAGUGAUAUGGAUAAUGAAGGUGAUGAAGACAAACUGGACAAAGACGUAGGGGAUAUAUUCUGAAUCAAACAGCAAUUGGGUAAAUUGGUGCAUACCGGAGGAUGCACAGGUUCAGAGGGGGUGGAUGUCCUAUUGUAACACGAGUAUACAAUGAAAAUAAAAAGAAAGGGGAAUUUUAUUAAUAUUCAGUUACCUCAAAUAUUGGGAGCAUCGACCAACUCCAGUACAAAUACUGAGUGGUCAGAUUCAGUGACUCCGUUACAGUCAGCCGGGGCAUACUGAAAUGCCCCAUUCGAUUCCAAUAACGGGAGUCAGCAGGAAGAGAAGGACCAAUUCACACGACGGGUUCAAGGAGCCAAUUGGAUCCAAUUUCGAUAAUCCAAUCCGGGUCCUCUUACCCAAUAUGAGACCUGUAUUGGUGGGGCAACCCAAUGCAGUCUAGUUACGGAAAAUCCAGGUCUUACUACGGGUCUUAGCCAAUCUGACGCGAGGACCAAUUUGACCCAAUUACGGAAACAUCCAAGUUACUACGGGCAUCUUUACUAAUAUAGGACCUGAAUUGGUCGGGCGACUCAAUGUGGUCUCGAUUACAGGGUUCGAUUCUGUUUCAGGCUGUCCUGUUCUCUGUGCCGUUUCAGGGAACGUUGUUUUCGGUAAAUGGAUUUCGUAAAGGUUAAAACGGAGGAGAAAGCUUGAUGGCGAGAGCCAAUUUCGGAUCCAAGCUUGAGGUGGGAGCCAAUUCCGGAUCUAAGACAGAAGAUUGAAGAAAUUCAAAGGAUAAGGUUAGGUGGGGAUAUAGUUUUGAGGGGGGAGGGUUUUUUUUUGAGGGGAAAUCACGGGGGAAAGAUUUUUCAAGCUUCUGCAAGGUUAUCAGUUGGGUUUUUUUUUGGAUGUUUUUGAAGAUCAAGGGAAUUAGAGAGAGGAGCUUCAUGCUUCGGGUUGGGGAAGGAAAGACAUAGAAUUUGGAUUUUUCUUCUUCGUAGAGUUUUGGGGAAGACUGAGGCAAUCGCUGCUGAAGUCAGUGUUAUAAUGGUGAAUCGGGAUUUUUAAAUGAAGUGGGUUUGAAUACUCUUGACUGUUUUGUGAAAUCGAGUUACGUCUGUGAUUGAAGGAUUAAAAGGGUGUCUAUAGGAUUGAGUAUGCGGAGUGAAUGAAAUUUAUUGGGUUAAUCUAACAAGACAGUCAGUGGAUACAAGAUCGUAAGUACAAAGCAGUAUUGAAGGUUAACAGUUUGGGUUGUUCGGGGUUCUCUGUAACGUCUAGAGACCUACCGGCUGGGGCAAAAAGGACUUCGACAAGCAGUCGAAGAGCACCCGUAUAGAUUUACGGUACAUUGUUGCAGUCGUUUAUAUUCCAG
This 7734-nucleotide long non-coding RNA is filed under the name Physcomitrium patens. RNAcentral describes it as "long non-coding RNA (PPAT_LNC012941)". The record is from RNAcentral. Lineage: Eukaryota; Viridiplantae; Streptophyta; Bryopsida; Funariales; Funariaceae.